UACGUAGGUGGCAAGCGUUGUCCGGAAUUAUUGGGCGUAAAGCGCGCGCAGGCGGUUCUUUAAGUCUGAUGUGAAAGCCCACGGCUUAACCGUGGAGGGUCAUUGGAAACUGGGGGACUUGAGUGCAGAAGAGGAAAGCGGAAUUCCACGUGUAGCGGUGAAAUGCGUAGAGAUGUGGAGGAACACCAGUGGCGAAGGCGGCUGUCUGGUCUGUAACUGACGCUGAGGCGCGAAAGCGUGGGGAGCAAACAGG
This 253-nucleotide ribosomal RNA is filed under the name uncultured bacterium. Its description in RNAcentral is "partial 16S ribosomal RNA". It matches the Rfam family "Bacterial small subunit ribosomal RNA", at positions 524 to 776 of the family's 1533-position model. The record is from RNAcentral.